RNAcentral lists this ribosomal RNA (480 nucleotides) under uncultured bacterium. Its description in RNAcentral is "bacterial SSU rRNA". It matches the Rfam family "Bacterial small subunit ribosomal RNA", at positions 30 to 506 of the family's 1533-position model. The record is from RNAcentral.
UUGAACGCUGGCGGCAGGCCUAACACAUGCAAGUCGAGCGGCAGCGGACCUUCGGGUGCCGGCGAGCGGCGGACGGGUGAGUAAUACGUGGGAAUCUGCCUAUAGGUGGGGGAUAGCCCGGAGAAAUCCGGAUUAAUACCGCAUAAUACCUGAGGGUUAAAACGGAGGAUCGCAAGACUUCGUGCCUAUAGAUGAGCCCACGUCAGAUUAGCUAGUUGGUAGGGUAAAGGCCUACCAAGGCGACGAUCUGUAGCUGGCCUGAGAGGGUGGCCAGCCACACUGGAACUGAGACACGGUCCAGACUCCUACGGGAGGCAGCAGUGGGGAAUAUUGGACAAUGGGCGCAAGCCUGAUCCAGCCAUGCCGCGUGUGUGAAGAAGGCCUUCGGGUUGUAAAGCACUUUAAGUUGGGAGGAAGGUUGCUUGGCUAAUAUCCAAGCGAAUUGACGUUACCAACAGAAUAAGCACCGGCUAAUUCCGU